RNAcentral lists this transfer RNA (75 nucleotides) under Aquificota bacterium. RNAcentral's name for it is "Aquificae bacterium (hydrothermal vent metagenome) tRNA-Gly". It matches the Rfam family "tRNA". From Rfam's summary of the family: Transfer RNA (tRNA) molecules are approximately 80 nucleotides in length. Their secondary structure includes four short double-helical elements and three loops (D, anti-codon, and T loops). Lineage: Bacteria; Pseudomonadati; Aquificota. The record is from RNAcentral.
GCGGGCGUAGCUCAGCGGUAGAGCGCCUGCUUGCCAUGCAGGAGGUCGCGGGUUCGACUCCCGUCGCCCGCUCCA